GAUGAAGAACGCAGCGAAAUGCGAUAAGUAAUGUGAAUUGCAGAAUUCAGUGAAUCAUCGAAUCUUUGAACGCACAUUGCGCCCGCCAGUAUUCUGGCGGGCAUGCCUGUUCGAGCGUCAUUACAACCCUCAGGCCCCCGGGCCUGGCGUUGGGGAUCGGCGGAAGCCCCCUGCGGGCACAACGCCGUCCCCCAAAUACAGUGGCGGUCCCGCCGCAGCUUCCAUUGCGUAGUAGCUAACACCUCGCAACUGGAGAGCGGCGCGGCCACGCCGUAAAACACCCAACUUCUGAAUGUUGACCUCGAAUCGGGUAGGAAUACCCGCUGAACUUAAGCAUAUCAAUAAGCGGAGGA
RNAcentral lists this unclassified non-coding RNA (353 nucleotides) under soil metagenome. RNAcentral describes it as "partial contains 5.8S ribosomal RNA, internal transcribed spacer 2, and large subunit ribosomal RNA". The stretch from base 1 to 120 matches the Rfam family "5.8S ribosomal RNA", at positions 35 to 154 of the family's 154-position model. The record is from RNAcentral.